Molecule: long non-coding RNA, 3521 nt
Organism: Thamnophis elegans (Western terrestrial garter snake)
Lineage: Eukaryota; Metazoa; Chordata; Lepidosauria; Squamata; Natricidae
Exons: 5
Source: RefSeq, a predicted model, not a curated record
AAAGGAUUUGGGUUAGGAAAGGUGAAGCCCGGUACCUUAAGCCGAGGAAAGGGAACCCUUUAGGCAAGGAACUAUUGAACUGCUGGAUGAACGCUGUGGAAUCUAGCAGCAGGUCUCCAGUUAGUUUGAUAAGCAACAGUUUCCAACCUGUUUGAGCUGGUACUCUGGUCACAAAAGGAUAUAUAUCUCACGACAUCUAUGGGGAAGAACUGGCACUCUUCUUUCAAAGCACCACUCCAGCUGCCAACUGCCUCCUCACAAGAUUUUGAGAGGCAUUGCCUCAGGAGUCCACCUCCAGAGAAUUUCAAAGUUAAAAGCAUUGAGAAAUUAUCUAAAUAAUUGCAGAUCGAAAGCAAUAUACUUUAUGAGGAAUUUUCCACUGUGGCCACCUGAAGGCAGAACCUGCUAUUUUUAAUUCUAAAGCCAGCGUAGACUUUAUCACACAGGAGGACCUUCAUUCAACUUUCAGGUUUCAAAGGCAUGAAGUCUUUAGGCAUUUUAAAGGUUAAUCAAAAUUCAGGAUUCAUGGGGUUUCUUCUGAUGACUCAGAGGAACAGACAAAUUAGUCUGCUGAAGAGCAUAAAAACAAAAGUAUCCAUGAAAGCUAAUUCUUAUUCUUGUGUCUACCUCUCCAACUCAUAUUUAUUUCCACCAUUGCAUAUGUUUCCACAGCGAGCUCAGUAUGACUCUGCAUGUGCAACUAUCUGCCUCUAACCCAGGACAAAAUAAGUGGUACUGCAAUAUCUCUCGUCCAGUGGGAUAACUCAAUUAGACCAUGCUUUCUUUGGACCUAUCAACCCCGUAUUGAGAAAUAUUACUUUCUGUGGAAUUGUGCUGAGGCUCCAAACAACUUUGGAGAACCAAACUUGGAAGAUAAAGGCACUGAAUUAGGGCCUCUUCUGUUGAUCUUAUGGAUCUGGAUGUGCAUAGCAAGGUUGUCUUCUCCCUCUACCACAAGAUACAAUUUAAAGGCUCUGGAGUCAGGUCUGAAAGAUGUCUUCAAUUCUUCCUAAUUUUCACGAGGUGCGGAUGAUCUCAUGCUGGUAGUACUAUACUUAUUUGUUUGGUCAUCUCGAGCACUAUGUCUUUUCUGUUGUAACUACUUACAUGCUUACUUAUUUGUUGCAGAAUACAGGCAUAAGCUAGGACACACUCAGUUGUGUGGCUGGCAAAUCUUCCCUGAUUCUGAGAGAGCCUCUUUUAGGAAUUAAGAUCUGGAUUGUGCCUUUUGCACUAUAGGAAAGUGAGGUCAUAUUUAAGGCAGCUGCAGAUGAGCUAUUUCUGGCUUGGGACACUUGGAAUCAACACUGCUGUUAACUCCAGAUGGACAUCAAGUGAAGUCCAUCUGUGUGAUUUCUAAGUUCUUUGAGUCUCUGAGCUGGGGACUUUGUCAAAAAGAGAUGUGCUGUGUGAUGAAUCAGUCAGCUUUUGUUGUCUGGAGCUGGACUCUAUGACGAGUGGCAAGACUCAUCUUCUUGGGAAUAUCUCAAACUUUAAAGGGCAGUUGAAUGCAGCUGAAAAGGGCAGAAACAUAAUUUUCAGAAAUACUUUUUUCUGGAUCUAUAAUUAUAUGCAUGAAGGGUUCACACUGUCCAUUUAACUAAUUAAUAAGUAGUCAGAUAUAUCAGUGAAAGCGUUAUGAUCUUUGAGCAAUCAUGAACAGAUAUUAUAAAUCAGAACUCCUUGUUCAUGAUUCAGUCUGAUCUAAAGGUGCAUCAAAAAUGUAUGCGAAAAUAAUCUAUGUUGCAAUUAUAUAUUUAAAGCCUUUAAUUUCUUAGUGACAAAACAAUGAAAAAAACCCAAACUGUAGACUGGAAGAAAUUAUUCUGUAAUUAACACCAAAGCUAGCACAUAUAAUGUGAAAAGGAAUUUAAAAACAUCAGUAUGUUUUCAACCAUAGUUGCAUCUAGACAUUGAAUGCAUUGGGAGAAAUCAUAGUAUGAAUUGCCUACAAUGUUCAGGAUAAAGCCUUAUGUGUUGCUUUAUGUGGCUAAUUUGUAAAGAAUAAGAAAAUAUUUGUUAAAUAUUUGAUGGUACAAUUAAGUCUUAUUAAUGUAGUGGCCUUUAUUUUGCAAAUUAAAAUGCACAAGAAUUCAUUUUUAUCACAACAGGUCUUUAUUUGUCAUUUUACUUUGCUAAGUAUUUGAUUAAUAUUAAUAUGGAAGAGCUGCUUUUUAAAAAAACAACAACCGCCAGUUAAUACUUUAGACGGAGUAGCUAUGUGGAAAUAGUAUUAAUGGGUUUCUAUUUAUGAUACAUACUAGUGCUAAAUAUUAUUUUUGAUAUUUUUAUUGCCACCCAGGACAAAUACAGUUCAUUAUAGAUGAGGAAUUGUUUAAUCUUCCAGCUACAUGCAAUAAUCAGCAGAACAAAUUGUUUUUAGUGCAACUCUGGUAUUGGUCUCCCUCUGCCUUCUUCAUCCCACUCAAAAUGCCUAAUAUCAGCUUUUGUUUCCUUUUGGUUAUUUUUCAUGUCUUUUUAAUGUUGCUCCCACUAGGCCAGGUUGCUAAAAGAAUGCUAACAAUAAAAGCUCUGUGUAUCAAGUUGGAGUGAGGAAUGGACUGAACUGAAGAGACAAUGGCUUUUUCAUGGGCUCCUUGUAGAAAAGCCAGCAAGUUGGAUUCUGAAUUAUGAUUGCCAUGGCUUCUACACUUUGCAAGCAAGUGACAUAUCAAACACAGCAACAGGAAAGAGCACUGUGAUUGUCGACUCGUUGAUAUUGCAGGGAUAGAUCUUAGAACUGGAAAAUCACCCUAAAAUUGACAAUUGACCAAGAGAAAACAGAGAAGACUGAGUGCAGGUGCACAUUAUAUUCAAAACUGAACUGCAAGUUUAAACAUUGCCCUACUCACUGUCUAAGGAAGAAUUUAAUAUAUCAAAACCUACUAUUUCAAGGGACAAAAGAGUUCCAGAUGUUACGUACAGUUCAGAGAGCCAGUUUGGUGCAAUGGUUAACGUACCAGGCCAGAAACCAGGACUAAAUUCUAGUUCCCUUUCUGGCACAAAACCAGGUGGGUAAUUGUAGGCCAGUCACUCUCCCACAGCCCUAGGAAGAAGGCAAGGGCAACCCAAUUCUGAAAUCUUGCUAGGAAAACUAUAGGGACAUGUUCAGGCAGUUGACAGGAAUGAGAAGACUCAAAGGCAGCAAAUAUAGACAUAUACACACAUUACCAUUAUGGCUGAAGUGGAAGUCACACUCAGACAAAGGAUAAAGAGUAGUACUCUUGUCCAUCAAGCAGUGAUUUGAUCAUUACUGAAAAAAAGAUAUUUAUCCACCAGAAACCUCAUUAGGAUCACAUGCAAUGUAAAACCAAAAUUGCACUCAUGGAGAUUCAUCAUCCUUGUAGAACAGGCAUGUCCAACCUGAAGCCCAUAGGCCACAUGCAGCCCCUAGACAGAUAAUAAAAAUAAAAAAACGGGUGUCAAAGUCACAGCCUACAGGCUGGAUGGGUCACAUGCUGGCCACCCCCACCCCAGGAAGAUGGGGUGAAGGAGGAAAAGUUGCAAUAUGUCACAUGACA